UACGUAGGGUGCAAGCGUUGUCCGGAAUUAUUGGGCGUAAAGAGCUCGUAGGCGGUCUGUUACGUCGGAUGUGAAAAUCCAGGGCUUAACCCUGGACCUGCAUUCGAUACGGGCAGACUAGAGUUCGGUAGGGGAGACUGGAAUUCCUGGUGUAGCGGUGAAAUGCGCAGAUAUCAGGAGGAACACCGGUGGCGAAGGCGGAUCUCUGGGCCAUUACUGACGCUGAGGAGCGAAAGCGUGGGGAGCGAACAGG
RNAcentral lists this ribosomal RNA (253 nucleotides) under uncultured bacterium. RNAcentral describes it as "partial 16S ribosomal RNA". It matches the Rfam family "Bacterial small subunit ribosomal RNA", at positions 524 to 776 of the family's 1533-position model. The record is from RNAcentral.